Molecule: transfer RNA, 77 nt
Filed under: Puniceicoccales bacterium
Lineage: Bacteria; Pseudomonadati; Verrucomicrobiota; Opitutia; Puniceicoccales
Description: tRNA-Val
Rfam family: tRNA
About the family: Transfer RNA (tRNA) molecules are approximately 80 nucleotides in length. Their secondary structure includes four short double-helical elements and three loops (D, anti-codon, and T loops).
Source: RNAcentral
GGGCGGGUAGCUCAGUUGGUUAGAGCGGCUGGUUUACACCCAGUAGGUCGCAGGUUCGAGUCCUGUCUCGCCCACCA